Molecule: ribosomal RNA, 253 nt
Filed under: uncultured bacterium
Lineage: Bacteria
Description: partial 16S ribosomal RNA
Rfam family: Bacterial small subunit ribosomal RNA
Source: RNAcentral
UACAGAGGUCUCAACCGUUGUUCGGAUUCAUUGGGCGUAAAGGGUGCGUAGGCGGUCGCGCAAGUCGGAUGUGAAAUCUCAGGGCUCAACCCUGAAACUGCAUUCGAUACUGCGUGGCUAGAGUGCUGGAGGGGAGACUGGAAUUUACGGUGUAGCAGUGAAAUGCGUAGAUAUCGUAAGGAAGACCAGUGGCGAAGGCGAGUCUCUGGACAGCAACUGACGCUGAGGAGCGAAAGCGUGGGUAGCAAACAGG